CUCAAAUGCUUCCUGGGACAGAUAACAUUAGCUGAGAGAGAGAGAGAGGGCAGCAUUACUGUAUUUCAUUAGUUGCAAUGUCUAAGAUGAGAGAUUCAUCAUACCUGCUCGUGAUAGAGGAAGACCACUGAUAUCUCUAGAUGCCCGAAACAUUGUAGAGAGGUAAGAGGAUGUUGUGAGGUUCAGGAGGGUUGUGAAGGUGUUUGUUGGGGAUGUUGUAGAGAGGUUUGGGAGGGUUGUGGAGGUGUUUGGCGAUGUUGUAGAGAGGUUUGGGAGGGUUGUGGAGGUGUUUGGGAAUGUUGUAGAGAGGUUUGGGAGGGUUGUGGAGGUGUUUGGGGAUGUUGUAGAGAGGUUUGGGAGGGUUGUGGAGGUGUAUCUUCCUUGAGUUACAUUCUUGCUCCUCUUUGUUUCAACCAGAAUGUCUUUACCAGAACAUGUCCCCUUGCAGAAGUAUUUGUUGUUGUUCCCUGCCCAAGUGAAUGAGCAGCCCACAGUGACUUGUCCUCCUACCACUUCCUUAUUGACAGCUGACACCACAA
This 539-nucleotide long non-coding RNA is filed under the name Salmo salar (Atlantic salmon). RNAcentral describes it as "lncRNA (ENSSSAG00000090403.1)". The record is from RNAcentral. Lineage: Eukaryota; Metazoa; Chordata; Actinopteri; Salmoniformes; Salmonidae.